UGCUUUUGAAGUGGACAAAACUCUCACAAAUAGAGAAAAUUCAUGGUCUUAUAAACUAUCUGAAUUAAUGAAAUAUAUUGGAAUAUCCUUUAACAAGCAUUGUAAUAUUAAUUUCAAACAGAAACUAGAAGAUUUCUACAAAAAUAAAAUUAUAUUUGAACUUUCUAAGAUAAAAGAUGGAAACUGUGGUAAACUUUUAUUUUUUAGUAAAAUUUAUACUAAAUUUAAACAACAAGAAUAUUUAAAUUUUAAUAUUCCUAAAUACCUUAGAAAAAAACUCACUAAAUUAAGAAUAAGUGCACACUCAUUAGCAAUAGAAACUGGGAGGUAUGCAAGACCAAAAAUACCAUCUAAUGAGAGAUUUUGUAAAUUUUGCACAGAAAAAAUUGAAAAUGAGAUUCAUUUCUUGAUUGAAUGUCCGCAAUAUAAAAACAUUAGAUCUAAAUAUAAAAUAAAUGAUAUUAAUUCAAAUAAUUUGGAUGAAAAUUUUACCAAAAUGUUAAAUCCUAUGUCUGAAAAGGAAUUAAAAUCUAUUUGUAUGUAUAUUGAAGAAGCUCUUGAUUUGAGAGACCACCAUACCGUUUCAUCAGAUAAUAAUCUUUUACAGUAGUUUGUGCA
RNAcentral lists this long non-coding RNA (618 nucleotides) under Mytilus galloprovincialis (Mediterranean mussel). Lineage: Eukaryota; Metazoa; Mollusca; Bivalvia; Mytilida; Mytilidae. The record is from RNAcentral.